Molecule: ribosomal RNA, 498 nt
Filed under: uncultured bacterium
Lineage: Bacteria
Description: bacterial SSU rRNA
Rfam family: Bacterial small subunit ribosomal RNA
Source: RNAcentral
ACUCAAAGGAAUUGACGGGGGCCCGCACAAGCGGAGGAACAUGUGGUUUAAUUCGAUGAUACGCGAGGAACCUUACCCGGGCUUGAAAUGCAUCUGACCGGCAAAGAGAUUUGCUUUUUCCUCGGAACGGAUGCGUAGGUGCUGCAUGGUUGUCGUCAGCUCGUGCCGUGAGGUGUCGGCUUAAGUGCCAUAACGAGCGCAACCCUCAUCGUUAGUUGCCAUCAGGUUAUGCUGGGGACUCUAGCGAGACUGCCAUCGUAAGGUGCGAGGAAGGUGGGGAUGACGUCAAAUCAGCACGGCCCUUAUGUCCGGGGCGACACACGUGUUACAAUGGGCGGUACAAAGGGUUGCCACCCGGUGACGGGGCGCCAAUCCCCAAAACCGCUCUCAGUUCGGAUCGGAGUCUGCAACUCGACUUCGUGAAGCUGGAUUCGCUAGUAAUCGCGCAUCAGCCACGGCGCGGUGAAUACGUUCCCGGGCCUUGUACACACCGCCCGU